GGCGCGUUGGCGAAGAGGAAACGCAGGUGUCUGCAAAACACCUACCGCGCCGGUUCGAUUCCGGCACGCGCCUCCC
Molecule: transfer RNA, 76 nt
Filed under: Candidatus Roizmanbacteria bacterium RIFCSPLOWO2_01_FULL_44_13
Lineage: Bacteria; Candidatus Roizmaniibacteriota
Description: tRNA-Cys
Rfam family: tRNA
About the family: Transfer RNA (tRNA) molecules are approximately 80 nucleotides in length.
Source: RNAcentral